GACGAACGCUGGCGGCGUGCCUAAUACAUGCAAGUAGAACGCACAGUUUAUACCGUAGCUUGCUACACCAUAGACUGUGAGUUGCGAACGGGUGAGUAACGCGUAGGUAACCUGCCUGGUAGCGGGGGAUAACUAUUGGAAACGAUAGCUAAUACCGCAUAAUAUUAAUUAUUGCAUGAUAAUUAAUUGAAAGGUGCAAUUGCACCACUACCAGAUGGACCUGCGUUGUAUUAGCUAGUAGGUGAGGUAACGGCUCACCUAGGCGACGAUACAUAGCCGACCCGCGAGGGUGAUCGGCCACACUGGGACUGAGACACGGCCCAGACUCCUACGGGAGGCAGCAGUAGGGAAUCUUCGGCAAUGGACGAAAGUCUGACCGAGCAACGCCGCGUGAGUGAAGAAGGUUUUCGGAUCGUAAAGCUCUGUUGUAAGAGAAGAACGGGUGUGAGAGUGGAAAGUUCACACUGUGACGGUAUCUUACCAGAAAGGGACGGCUAACUACGUG
This 505-nucleotide ribosomal RNA is filed under the name uncultured bacterium. RNAcentral describes it as "partial 16S ribosomal RNA". It matches the Rfam family "Bacterial small subunit ribosomal RNA", at positions 28 to 507 of the family's 1533-position model. The record is from RNAcentral.